Molecule: non-coding RNA, 48 nt
Filed under: Schistosoma mansoni
Lineage: Eukaryota; Metazoa; Platyhelminthes; Trematoda; Strigeidida; Schistosomatidae
Source: RNAcentral
AUUCAGCUGACGAGUUCCGAAUAGGACGAAAGGCGUGUAAAACUGGAU